This 2725-nucleotide long non-coding RNA is filed under the name Rhinopithecus bieti (black snub-nosed monkey). Its description in RNAcentral is "lncRNA (ENSRBIG00000046691.1)". The record is from RNAcentral. Lineage: Eukaryota; Metazoa; Chordata; Mammalia; Primates; Cercopithecidae.
AGGAAGAGAACAAGAGUGGCAGCAUGUCAGGAGCCCUCACCGGGACUGGAGCAGAUGCCACUGGGCCCUUCCAGGAAUUCUUUGGUUCUGUUGGGUUCUGGUUCCCUCCGUGUGAUGGAAAACAACUCAACAAACCUAUUUGCCUUUGGAUUUUGAAACAUAUUAAGAAAUCAGAAAUAAUCGAGUUCAAAGUGCCACACACCUUGAUGAUGUGCACAUCAGUGGGCAUUGAUUUUGUGACUUUGCCAAGUACACAGCCAGUUCUUUCAGGUGCCCACAACAGCUCAGGCCUGGAAACACAAGCAUCUCACCAGCUGCCUCCACAUUCCGUGGCCUCCCUCACCCCGCCCUCCACACCCCACACCUUCCUCUUCUGAGAAAGUUGGAAAGGCACUGCGCCCACCAAGAAGAGUCCACGUGAGUCCACGAGUGGUCAUGCCCUGGCUGAAGGCCCUGGGGUUCUUCACCUCUGGAGCCUCAAAGGUGUAGUCUCUGAGGUGGAAGAGGGCUGCAGGCCUGUCAUUUGUAGAGUGGAUAAAGAGAUGCCCCCGAAGUGAUCCGUAAACUACAAUUGAAAGAUAACAGAGAGAAAUGUGCAUUAUCCCUCUAGAUCAUUUCUAGGAUGGAAACACAGGCUCUGGCUUUCUCUUUUCCUGUGUGCAACACUGAGUCAUUCAUUUGUUCAUCAUUCGUUCAUUCAUUCGAUAAGUGGGUAUCACACAUUACCGUUGAGUUCUGCCUUGGAAGCUGCAAGCCGGCGGGUUUGGGACCCUGCCCUCCAGAUGGGCACCUUCCAAACACCUCAAAGGAGCCCCUGCCAGUGCUGACAAAGUGGGGGUCUGAUCAACCAAUUCCUGAUGAGGUGUUAACUACUGGUAAGUACUUAAUGCUUCGGGGUGUUAAAAACGAAAUUUAGGGAGCAUGAGGAUGCUUCCUAGUACAACCCAAAAGGCUUUCCAGGACACACUCUGUCUACAUUUAGGCCUGGGGUUUUUAAAUACAUGAACAUGUUAGUAACUGCACACUUUCAUCCAUUAGAGUGCAAGGUGAAUCCUGGUCUGUUCUACAAAGAUGAGAAACUCACAGUCGUAGGAGGCAGUGUGGCCAGGUAUGAUUGUAAACAAUUAAUUGUGAGGCAAUCCUUACAGACACCAUAAUCUGAAAAGCUAGAGGACGAGGAAAAUGCAAAUGGGGUGGGGCAACCCCAGCAGGAGGAUGCCUGGGUUUAGGAGAAGAGGAAAGAGGCUUCCAGAGGGGGAACUGGCAUUAUCAGCAAAGGCACAGACGUCUGCAGGAGCCAUGCAGGUUCACAGGAGGAAGACUGAACCCCGGCUGGAUAGGAGCAGGAAUACGGAGGCCAGGACCUGCUCCUGGGGGCUGCCCGCCCUGUGCUGAGUGAUUUGUAUAUGGAAUCUCAUUGAUUUCAUUCUCAUGUUUUAGAAACCCUUAUGCCCAUUUUAAGGAUAAUGAAACUGUGGCUGGAUGAAGCUAAUGAAGGGGUUUAAACCAUGUCCAGAAUGUGUAUCCACCCUGGCAAGUUGCAGGCAGGACUUCUGCUCCCACCCUCUGGACCUCCACGCGGGGGACCUCUAACAGGUCUCUGAGCUUGGCGUGUGAACCCAAAGUGGGGCACGGGUGCUCCCCAGCCUGGCACAGAGGAGCCUGCUGCCCGCAAGGACUUCCUCACCCAGCCAGGGCUCUUCGUGAAGCGGAGAGGGAGCCCCGCAGCCUGGCACUCUCGCUGGGAAGACAGUGCACAUGCUCCAGCUUUUCCGUUAAGGACACACUGAGGCCACAGCUGUGGAAGGUGAAACGGGGAGAGAGAGCCUGGAAUGGCUGAAAGGCACUUACAGCAGAAGUGCAAACAGAGACACAGGGUCACACCCACGCACGAGGCUUGGCCGUGUCCGGCUCAGGGCCCGGUCAUCAUGGCCCAGCGUGCAGCCAGAGAAGCAGCAGAGGCAGCGUGGCCACACAUCUUUCCCCAGCCUGGCGCAGCAGGACCAUAUGAGUUUAUCUAUAAUAUCAAAUACGAGGUUAACUCUUUUAUUUAUAUGCAGUUUUAUCAUAAGAGUCUUUAAAAGGAGAAUUCCCUGUCACCUCAGAGCACCCUGGUUUUUAUUAAUCUGGUUGCAUUUGGAGACGUUUAGUCAGUCACUACUUCCUGCUUAGACGCACCACCCACAGGUGCCUCAUUGGCAUGGAGGAAUGCGAGCAGGACUGGGUUCAACUUUGUGUCUCCGUUAUUACUCCGGAUGCUUCAUUUCUCAUUAAAAGGUAAGCGAGACUGGAUGACCUAAAUUAAAACAAAAACCAGCAGCAAAUUAACUGAGUUCAAGAGAGAAUGUGGCCCGCUGAGCUCCACACUGUGGAGAGUGUGCCGGUUUUCAGGGAGUUGUCUGUGGCACAGUCUGAAAGAUGGCAUCUCAUCUCAUCCAAAGGGAAACGAGGCCAGCUCCUCCCCUUCUCUGACCAGGCACUUCCAAGGACUGCCUCCUGGAGAGAAUGGUGCUUCUUUCGUUUGUCCUGUAUGGGACACAUGGCUGUCUGGAACGGCUGCUCCCUGUCAUCUGUGAUGCUGGUGUUCUCUUACCCAAUUCACCCACUUGGCAUUUUUGUACGCUGAGAACAGGGAUUUGAAAGAUUAGGGAAUACGGGAAGAAAUAAUAUAGAAUUAGAAAACUCCUCGUGUCUUUUAAAUAAACUGAAUGCAGCUAUGAAACGU